RNAcentral lists this transfer RNA (77 nucleotides) under Aliarcobacter butzleri. RNAcentral describes it as "Arcobacter butzleri tRNA-Asp(gtc)". It matches the Rfam family "tRNA". From Rfam's summary of the family: Transfer RNA (tRNA) molecules are approximately 80 nucleotides in length. Their secondary structure includes four short double-helical elements and three loops (D, anti-codon, and T loops). The record is from RNAcentral. Lineage: Bacteria; Pseudomonadati; Campylobacterota; Epsilonproteobacteria; Campylobacterales; Arcobacteraceae. RNAcentral also lists the same sequence under 19 other names.
GCGGCCGUAGUUUAGUUGGUUAGAAUGCCUGCCUGUCACGCAGGAGGUCGCGAGUUCGAGUCUCGUCGGCCGCGCCA